Corylus avellana is the source of this 183-nucleotide non-coding RNA. The record is from RefSeq and is a predicted model, not a curated record. NCBI's taxonomy places the organism in Eukaryota, Viridiplantae, Streptophyta, Magnoliopsida, Fagales, Betulaceae.
GUUCGGUGUGGGGUUUUCGGUGGCAGGAGCUGCAGUUUCCCGCUUGAUCUGGAGAGACAUUGGGAUCGAUCGCUACGCUCUCUUCUCAGAUAAAUUUGAUGCUCUGGAAGCCAGAGUCUUGAACCUCGAGGCAGUACCGAAAUCGAGUUCUGGUCAGGCUGAAGGCUAGCUUUAUUUGAAGCU